GAGACCCGUACCCACAGUUGCCAGCGGCUGCUCCGGCAGGCUGGGUACACUAUGGGGACCGCCUCUGCUAAAGAGGAGGAAGGAGCGGGCGACGGUAGGUCAGUAUGCCCCGAAUUCUCCGGGCUACACGCGGGCUACAAUGGAUGGGACAAUGGGCUCCGACACCGAAAGGUGAAGGCAAUCUCUUAAACCCAUUCUUAGUUCGGAUUGAGGGCUGAAACUCGCCCACAUGAAGCUGGAAUCCGUAGUAAUCGCGGAUCAACAUUCCGCGGUGAAUAU
Molecule: ribosomal RNA, 279 nt
Filed under: uncultured archaeon
Lineage: Archaea
Description: partial 16S rRNA
Rfam family: Archaeal small subunit ribosomal RNA
Source: RNAcentral